This 352-nucleotide ribosomal RNA is filed under the name uncultured bacterium. Its description in RNAcentral is "partial 16S ribosomal RNA". It matches the Rfam family "Bacterial small subunit ribosomal RNA", at positions 338 to 707 of the family's 1533-position model. The record is from RNAcentral.
CCUACGGGUGGCAGCAGUGGGGGAUAUUGCACAAUGGGGGGAACCCUGAUGCAGCGACGCCGCGUGGGUGAAGAAGCGCCUCGGCGCGUAAAGCCCUGUCAGCAGGGAAGAAAAUGACGGUACCUGAAGAAGAAGCCCCGGCUAACUACGUGCCAGCAGCCGCGGUAAUACGUAGGGGGCAAGCGUUAUCCGGAUUUACUGGGUGUAAAGGGGGCGCAGACGGCGAUGCAAGCCAGGAGUGAACGCCCGGGGCCCAACCCCGGGACUGCUUGUGGAACUGGGUGGCUGGAGUGCAGGAGGGGCAGGCGGAAUUGCGGGGGUAGGGGGGAGAUGCGAAAAUAGCAGGAGGAAC